RNAcentral lists this long non-coding RNA (36738 nucleotides) under Vitis vinifera (wine grape). RNAcentral describes it as "long non-coding RNA (VVIN_LNC001392)". Lineage: Eukaryota; Viridiplantae; Streptophyta; Magnoliopsida; Vitales; Vitaceae. The record is from RNAcentral.
UUUUUGAAGGUGUGAUCUUUAUGCUCAAAAAAUAAAGAUACUCAAAAAUUUAAUAUUGACCUUCUCGUGAAGGAAAAGCUUUAUAACUAAUUUUUUUUGUGCAUUAUAUAUAUCCUCAAUAUAGACUUUAAAAAAAAAAGAAGUAACUCCCUCUACAAAGAGUGAAGAGUCAAUUAAACUUUUUUUUUUUUAAAAAAAAGGAACCAAUUACUCGUAAAAGUAAUGAUUAUUUUUACAUACCAAACUUGAGGAGAUUACUUAAGAUCACAAAAGUUUUUAUUAAAUUGCAAGCUAGAUGCAUUUGAAACGAUCGUUGAUGUCUUAGCAACACCUUAUGUAACUCAUCAAUCUUUAUGUAAAAAUGCAUUUUUAACACCCAUAUAAAAUAAUGAUCAAUCCUAAUUUAAUAGAAACAAAUGGUAAUACAUGAAUAUCAUUCAUAUUAAUGAGAAAAGUAAAUAUUGAUUUAUAAUCAACUUCUUAAGUUUGUGUCAAUGCCUUAAUCAUUAGUUUAACUUUGUCAUUCAAUGAUACCAUCAUUACGACAUUUAAUUAACUUAGAUUUGCGUAAAUCCCUUAAUCACUAGUCUAGCUUUAUGUCAUUCAAUGGUACCAUCAUUAUGGUAUUUAAUUGAUCUUAUACCCCCAAUUUGUAUACCCCAUGUUUUUCUUAAUUUACCAUACAUCACUUAACAAUGUUCCAUGCAUGGAUUUUGUUAAGUGCCUUAAGUUCCUUUUGCAUAGCCUUUCUCCAAAUUGGAUGAGGAUUGGCUUCAUUAAUGUCAUUAGACUCAUGAUAUAUGGAACUCAAACAAUUGUUAAGUGAUUUUGUAUAUAUAUAAAAAAAAAAUUGUAAUUAAUGUGGUAGGCAUAAAAAUCUCACAAAUGAGGAUUGAUUAAUUGUUAUAAUUGAGCAACAUGCUUGAGGCUUAGUCACAAUACUAGAACUUGAAGUCAGACAUUCUCUUCAAAUAAGGACGUAUAUACAUUAUAUUGGAUCUCCAUUAAACAAGUAAAGAACUAUUUAGUAGACAAUGAAACCUCAUUGAUCAAUGGUGGUAGAGAGACACAUGAUGACCAGACUAUUCCCCUGGAAAUGAGAAUAAAAAAUAUCAUUAGCCGCAAAAAUCUCAAAAAAAUUUAGAUAAUGGGAUAUAAAGAGUUUAUGAAUUUUACAAUCAUAACUCUUAUACUGGUUUAAGUGGUAGAGUAAUCAAGAACACAAAACGAGUUUGAUGAGUGGUUGAGAUAUGAACAAAGCAAAGAUUUCCAAAGACACCAAAAUCAGAAAUCUCAAUUUUUGGGCUAAGGAUUUCAAGAAGAAAUUUAAAAUUAACUACAUGACUAGAAAAUUUGUUCAUCAAGGAAAUAGAAGUAACGAUAUCAUAACAUCAUAAUUAAUCAAUAUUUUUAAUAACAUGCAUUUGGAACAUGAUAUACCGGCUUUCUAAUAAUCAAUGAUUUUUGGUUCAACCACACCAUUUUGUUUUGGGAUGCCAAUACAACAAGUUUAACGAANNNNNNNNNNNNNNNNNNNNNNNNNNNNNNNNNNNNNNNNNNNNNNNNNNNNNNNNNNNNNNNNNNNNNNNNNNNNNNNNNNNNNNNNNNNNNNNNNNNNAUGUAAGUGCCAAAUUAGGUAGUGUCGACAAUGAAAUGGAAAUUUUGGAAUAUAGAAACAACCUCAUUUUUAUGUUCUAAUAAGUAAACCUAUGUAGCAUAAGAAUAGUCAUUAAAAAAAAAGGUAACAAAAUGUUGAUUUCCAUCCUAUGGAUCAAUUAGGACACAACCCCAAGGUAAACUAAUUUGAAAGUUGCAACAAAAAUGGAAAGAGAUGAAAAAAUAAUAGAGGAAUUUAAGGUUGUUUCAAAAUUUCAAGACAUGCUAAGAAACACAUGAGAUUAUAGAUGAUUAGGUAACAACCUUGGUUAAGUAUAUUCAACAUAUAUAUCCCACGAGGAUAAAUAUCUUCACUAAACUUUUCCUAUUAUUCAAUCCCCUAAUACCAUACAAGUGAAAAAUUAAUGUCACGGUCAAAAAUUUUAAUAAGCUUCCAAAGAGAUAAUAAUUUUGGGGAAAAAAACAACCUAAGAAACCUAUGAAUUGAGAUAAUUUAGGAAAAAACUAAAUGUUCGUUAGCUCUAGAAGGGAAUUGAAGCUCAUCAUCAAUAAAGAUUGUUGCUAUCUCGAAUAAUAUCAAGUAAACCAUUAAGAUCGCUAUUAAUGGUAUGAUUAGCAGCACCAAUUAUCGACAAAAAAAUUAUUAAAAAUAUAAGAAAUGAGAGCUUUAAGAUUAUCUAAUUGAUUUGUAAACCUAGGUAAGUGAAUCAGUAUUACGUUUUGUUAAGGAAGCUUAGAUCCAAUUGGUAUCAUUCACCAAGUUAUUGGAUUAAAUUACACUAUCAAACUUUGGCUUUAAAUGAGAAUGAAGAAUCUAACCACAAUCCUUAUUGGGAUUAGAUAUGUUAUUGCAAUAAUGUUUACAAUCGGAUGAGUGCUAAUUUCUAUUGAAAUCAUGAAGCAAUCUCUGAUCAUUGGUCUUCUUUGUAGAAACAUGAGCAUUGAAUUUAAAAUUAAUAAUUGUUACUUGGGAUUCAACCUUCAUAAUCAUUGCCUGGGUUUCCUAAUCACUUUCAAGAAUUACUUAUAUAGUGAAGGCACUCGAAACUAAUCAAAUUUGUCCUCUUAUAAAGUUGUCAUAUUCAAGCUUCAGAAUAGCCAAUAAUUGAAAAACUUAUCAUACUCCGCAAUUUGUUGAAGAAUAUUUGGGUCUAUUGAAGGGGACAAUAUAGGGAAUAUUUGUCCCAUAUGCUCAAAAUGUUCAAUUAACAAAGUGUUCUGUAUGUUUAGGGAUUUGUUAGCUUUAAUUACACAAAACAUUAGCAGUUUUAGAGAAAAUUAAUUUUUUUUUGCAAUCUUAGGUUCCAUGAAAUUAAAAAGCCAAUAACAAGUCAAUAUGGCUUGAGACCCAGUCAUCAUAUUCAAAGUCAUCCAACUUAGAAGCAUUCAUUUUGCCACUAACAUGUGCUAAUUUCCAUUUUCUAUCUUUCAAGAGAAAAAGACUGCUCUUAACCAUGGCAAAUAAUUGAACCCAUUAAGAAGAUUGAGGAAAGUAUCAUAUGAGGGUUGUCAUUUUCCUCCAUGACAAAGAAAAAGCAACAGAGAAAAACUCAUAAUAUUAGAAAGAGAAUGAAAGAAAUUGAGUCAUAGAUACACACAGAAGAAUCCAAAAAUAAAGCAAUAAUACAACCACAAAUAUGAGAAGAAGCUCAAUUACAAAGAAAGGAACUCAAUACAAUCAACUAAAAAGCGUUCCGAAGUUCAUACGAAAAUAUUCAUAAUGUGAAGAUCAUUUCAUGAUUCCUACAAUUUCUUCCUUCUACCAGUCCACUCCAUACAAGGUUUGAUCAACAACUUCUUCAUUGAUUUUCUGGUCUCUCUCCGGUGUAUCAUAGAGCAUUUUUGACAUGUUUCUGCAAGAUACACUUGUUAACUUUAAGCGACAUAAGUGCAAAAAAAUAAGAUCAUGUUGUAUUGCCUGUGCUUCCACUCUGCCUUGUUUAGUACUAUUAUGGAGCAGUACUUCCAUAUAGAACCAGUGAUCUCCAGUUCAUUAUGUUGCCUUCUUUAAACUAACUUUAAUUAUCUAUACAUAUAAAACAAAGUGGUCCCAUCAAGGGGCUAAAUCAAGAAUCAAGUGGGGCGAACAGGAAACAGUGGCAUCAAUUUUUAAGUCCAUAAGCUUUAAUAAAAGGAAUAAAACCAAGGAUAUGAAUAUGUUAUUUUUUCAUUUGUUCAUGCACUGGAAGAUCUUUCCUCUUCAAGCAUUGAACCAGCAUCCUUCUGUGCAAGUUGCUGUCGGAACCUUCUAUAAUUGUCAGAAGUCUGUUUCUGAAAUAUACAGAUAAAACUUUUAGCAAGUCUUGACAUUGCUCAUCACUAGGACAUUGUACUAGGAUACCAAUUCAUCUAAUUAGGGUUAAGUUGGCAUCUCGUACACUAUUUUUUAUUUUUCCUUCAUCUUUUGUUCCCAUUUGCAGUGGAAGUGGCACUUAGAAUAUCUGAUCAUGAAGAAUUAGCUUUCGGUGAGAUGAUACUAGGUCAAUUGCCAUUAUCUUUUUGAGUUACUGUGCGAGCAAUCUUGAAAAUAUUUUGGGAUAAAUAGAAUUUGUGCUUAUCAUAAACAUGCUAAACAUCCAAAUCAAGUGCUUUUACUAUUGAUAUCAAAUCAGUAAUUGAUUUUAACCUUUAUGCUUAUCUUUCAGAUUCUCAAUUAUGUAUCUUGAAUAAUGAUAUUAAGCAGAAAUCAUGAAUUGAAUUGCUUUAAUUAACUGUGCCUUAUCAAGCUUGUCAGCAGUGCUAUUGCUACCGCGAAUCAAAUUCGCUGUGCUUCCCGCCUUCUCCAAAUAAGCCACAAGCCCAAUUAUAUCCGCCCUCCUCCCAUCUCCAAGGGAUCAAAAAAUAAAAUGACUUCAAUCAAUUUUCAAGUUUUCCAUCUUGAUCAGUAGACCACCCGGCAUGAAUGUUACCCUCAGUUUAGGAAUAGGAAUUCCUUUUACUAAUCAUUUGGCACUAAAAACUAUGACCCCUAGCAAUUCAUUCCCUCCAUUAGAUAUCUGGGGGCAUCUUGGCUCAGCCAAAAAUGAUAAGUCAUUGCAUUUCACAUUGCAUUCAUUUGUAUUAAUGAGCUAAUUUUUUUUCACAGAAUGUGAUGUGAAUCGAAUUACUUCCAACCAUGUGUCUCUAUAAGGGUUUAACAAAUGUAAUUUGCAUUGUCUGUACACUUUUUUUUCGGUUUCUUUUCUUUUUUAUGCAUGAUUCAUUAGUCCACGGAUCUUCUAUGCAAAGUGUGCAGGCCAAACACCUCCUUCAAUGCAUUAUUCUAGAAGUUAAGACUCAGUUUACUCCUUAAUUGAUCUGUUCCAUUUACUUCAAAUCAUUUGAUUACAUUAAAUGAAUCUUGAAAUUCAAAAAUGCAUCAAAGUUAAAAGACCUUCCAAUGCAUUAAGAAAUCAUCUGAUACAAAUAUAUGUGAACCUGCAACAACAAUAAUGUCAAAAUGGAAAACUUAGGUAGAAAAUAUUAGAACGGAAACUUACGACGAACUCAAUUUUUGGCGCCUUUCUUCUUCUCAUCUUCUGAUCCAAGAAGCUCUUCCAACACCGUGUCAUCCAAACACUCGAACUCAAUGACUUGCUUUUCUUGCCCAGAAGAGGAACCUCCCAUCUCUAAACUCCUACAAGGCCCAGAAGAUGACGAGGAAGACGAUGAGGAUGGUGAUGGUGGGGGGCGAUGGGAGCCCAUGAUUUCAGAAUAGUACUCAUUAGGAAAGUUAAGAAUGGCAAGAUGACCCCUUAAGUUAAAGGCCGCUCGAUCAUAGGCGCGAGCUGCAUCCUCCGCCCUGUCAAAUGUGCCUAGCCAUAGACGAGCACCUUGCCUAGACGGAUCCCUAAUCUCGGCUGCAAACUUCCCCCAUGGCCUCCUCCUCACCCCUCGGUAUCGAACUUCUUCCUUUUCCUUCCCUUCCUGCUCCUGCUUCUCAUUCCCUUUCGAAUGAUCUUCCAUGCUAAACGUGUCGAUUUGCUAGGCGCAAUUUUUUUGGUUUCAAAUGUGCUGGUUUACGAGAGGCAUGGAUGCUUAUGUAUAUAUAUGGUUGCCACAGUCAGGUCUGACGUCACCGCUCAAUGUAUGUUCCACAGCGUGGGUUGACGAGCUUUCUGAGGGGGUUUCCUCGAAUUCAAAGCAAGUAUAAAAAUUCGAUUCUCCGACCUUUCCAAUGAGGAUCGAACAGGCCUUUUAUUAGAACCGUAUGAUAACUCCACACUGUUUUCAAAUAGUCAAUGUGAUCUAGAUUCUUCGUUAAUUUUUUCCACCUGACUGAUUGUUUACAAUUUUAUUUUUCACCGUCCCAAAUUUAAACCAUUUACGCGAUUCCCUGGAUUGCAUUUUUCUUUAAUGUUGACUUUACGAGGCAAUAGGACCCCCCAGCAACCCCACUAGGGCGACUUCAUGGGAACCAGAUUACUUUUGGAUCCAGAUAUGGUCCAGAAGAAAUAAGACAAAUCAAUUAAUGUCCACUAAAGUUUUGAUGGAACCCUUAGUCCGUGUUUCCUGUGGAUGUAUGUAUUGUAUGCACCUCAAUUUUCACCAAUCCCUGCUACGAGUCCCUUUAAUUUUGACGUUAUAAAUGUUUUUCCUGACAUUAGCAGAGUGUUUUUCUGCCGUCUUUGAGGACCUUCCACGGCCCAUAAACUAAUAAGGAUCGUCCAGUGAAUUUAGUCUUCCCCAGUUAAUUAUCCUGCGAGGGAAACUUGGGCAGUAAGUUGCCUACAUGAGUGGCUCCCGCCUACAUGAGUCAAGGGACCAUACGUCAGGACGACAACCAGUGUGGUCACACCAAAGUGGGUUGCCUGGACUCCAGGGUGGUCGCUUCAAAGUUGUCAAAUGAAGGCUAGCUUGGCAAGUUUUGGAAAACAAUUAUUGAAAAACAUUUUUCAUGAAUAACAGUUUCUAUGAACAGAUUUUAAGAAAGUUUAUUUUGUGAUUUUUAGGAAUAUUUUUAAUUUAAAUUUUUAUAUUUUUAAUUUUUUAUUAAUUUAUUGAUUAUUUAAUAUUAGCUUAAUUAAUGGAUUUUUCUUGGUCCCAAAUUAUUAAUUUAUCAAGAUUUAAUCGCAUCCAUAAUUAGUCUAAUUUCUUUUGGAGUGAGUGUGACAAAGUGCAAAUUUCUAGAGUUUUAUUAAUGUUAUUCAAUGUCAUAAUUUAACUAAUUAUAUUAAUUAUUUAUUAAUCAAAAUAAAUCAUUCACUUGAAAUAUGAUAAUUUAAAUUAAAAGUUUCAAUUAUUUAUUAAUUAGCAAAGUAUGAACUUUUCUUCUUGUUUUAUUAUUGUUAUUCCAUGUAUAUAAUUUAAUUAACUGUUUCCAAUAUUAAUCAAUAAAAAUAGAAUAUAAGCAUGAGAAGAAUUAGUAAAAUUCAUUGAUUUGGAAUUAGAUAGCUAGAGGAAGAACUUCAUCAUCUUCCCAUUACUUAAAUUUGUAUAAAUUCUAAAUAUUUAAACCCCCCCCCCCCCCCCCCCCCCCAAAAAAAAAAAAAAUGGUAAAGAAAGACUCCCCAAGCUUUCUUGGUUGGUGUUACCCUAAAAUUUGUACAAUAAGAUGAACCAUUUGGCUUAAAGCUUGGUGCGAAACCCCUUAUCAAUUGAAAAUAUCAAUGAAGUUGUUGAAUGGUUUUAGAGGACUAUUCUUAUGCAGAGUGGCAUAAGAAGCGAGGAGAUGAAGAGCGGAGAGACGUUAACAUCGGAUGCUGCUACGAAGGUGGGAAUACGGUUAAUUAAUUAGAUUUUGUGAUGGCUUUGAGUUUGAAGGAGUUAGUUUAAUGGGUAUUAUUAGUGAACUGAUAAUUGGAUUUGAUGUAAAGAAGGUUGGUCCAUUGGAUUAGCAAUUGGUUUGGCCUUUUGGGGGCCCCAUUUCCAAAUGCAUUGCCUUUUACAAGCAUUCAACAUCGCUGGACGUAACCAGGCUUGGUUCACCUAAAAGUAUCGCAUGGAUUGAAUUGACUAAGUUUUCAUUGUAGACUAGCCUUGAUUUUCCCUUGACCUGCCCACCAAAUCCUGAUGCCCACGCGAGGGAAUACCUCAAUUUUCUAAUAAUUUAUGCAGUUUCUCUUCAAAGCUCGUGUGAUCACUUGGGUCGGUAAAAUAAUGCAUUCCUCUACUUUUUCUCCCUUCCUAGAUGCAUGUUAUACCAUUAAUUCAAAUGUGAACAUGGGCUUGGCUUUGAAACUUGGUUCAAGGCCCAACAUGUUGACCCACAAUUGAGGUGUAAUUGAAUUUGUACACUUUUCGACUUUGAUACCAUUUGUCAUUACCAUUGACAUUGGGUCAUUGUUGAUUUUGAGUCCACAACUUUUAAGGUUGUUAUUACAAUUUUAAAUUGCGCCCACCCAAUUUAUAUGCAUUAUCCCUUAUAAAUACCGAUAACCUCUCUUUCUUCGAUAAUAUAAAAUGUCACAUAUAUUAUAUAUCUCAAUGUUUUCUUUUACUUUUUUUUUUUUUAUCGAUCGACAUUCUCUCUCAGAUGAUAUGAGAUGUCACAUAUAUUAUAUGUUUCAAUGUUUCUUUUACUUUUUCUCUUUUUCCUCAUGAUUGACAUUGUCUUUCUCAAAUGAUAUGAGUUGUCACAUAUAUUUUAUGUCUCAAUGUUUUCUUUAACUUUUUUUCUCUCUUCUUUAAUGAUCGACGUUCCUUUUCUCAGAUGAUAUGAAAUGUCAUAUAUAUUAUAUGGCUUAAUGUUUUCUUUUACUUAUUCUUUCUUUAUUAAUAAUCGACAUUUUAAGCAAUAUGUGAAUAUAAAGCAUUAAAAUUAUCUCCAUCGUUUUUGGAUGUGGUAUAAAUACACAAUUCUUAUUUUUGUUUUAAAUAUUUCUAUUGCUAUCUAUUGAAAUUUUAUGCAUGAAGCUACCAAGUUAAUUAUACAUAUAUCUUAAGAUUUUUUUUUUUUUUUUUUAUAGGAUAUAUUGUCCAUGAAUAUUUUCUGCAAUGGUAUCUUGUUUGAUUACUAUAAGAAAUAAUAUAUAUAUAUAUAUAUAUAUAUAUAUAUAUAUAUAUAUAUAUAUAUAUAUAUAUUAUAUUUCAAUGUUUCAUAUUUGCUUAAAAUAAAAAUUAUAUUUUAUCACAAUAUUUGGUAUUAAAAAAAAUGAAAUCUCUCUCAUUUAUUAUUACAAAAAAAUUAUAAUUUAUAAUUUUCUAAAUAAGUUUUAUUUAUUUGCUAACUAUAUUCAUGAUUAAAAGAUUUAAAAUUUAUAAAUAAAAAAUAUUAUGUCAUGUCAUUAAAUAAAUAAAAAUAUAUGUAUAUAUUAAAAUUAUGUUUUAUUGUAGCUUUUAAUAUUUUUUUUUUUAUUCUUUUCUUUUUUGAACUACAAUUUUAAUUUUUUUUAAUCAAAAUUUUUUAAUUUACAAAACGAGUAACAUAAAACUUGCCUUUGAACUUUAUUGGAAUGUUAUAUACUACCAUUUGGCUUUCAAGACAUUAGAAAAGGCAUAAGUGUCCCUUUUAUUUUUCCGAAAGGCAUAUUAGACUAUAGUAGGAAGUGUUGUAUAGAGGCAACUAAAAGUUGCCUUUAACUUUAUGAAGUCAUAUACUCCUCUUUGGCUUUGAUGACAUCAACUAGCAAAUUGGAUUUUGUUUCCUUUGCAACAUUUUUCCAUCCAUUAGCCAGUUUUUUUAUACUGUUUGGUGCUUGCCAACAUGGCACACACUAUGGUUCUUAAAAAGUAUUUUUUUUUUUAAGAUACUACGAAAUAAAAUACACGAUUGAAAGAUGAGUCACAAUAAUUUUCAAAACUAAAUUUUUUAAUAUUGUUAAGAAAAUUUGACCACCAAAUGAUUGAUUUUAAAUUACAAAUACUUUUGUUAGCUAAGAAAUUUGUUGUUCUAUUUGUUUCCCUAUAAAUAUGACAACAAUCAUAAAUAUUUUCAUUUUAAGAUAAUUUUCAAAUAUCUUCCAUUAAUAAUAUAAUAGAAUUAGGAAUUUUUUUUUUAGUUAUAACAAUCUAUAAUUAUUUAAGAGUCUUCCUCAAUCUCUAGGUUUAAGAACUUAUUGUUCUUAACAACUAACAUGUCAUCUCUUAAAAUAAUACAUUCUGCAAUAAUUAUUGAAAUAUGAUAUAAUAUAUAUAUCUACUUACAACCAUUUUUGUAGUACCAUUAGAAUUUUUAAUUACCCAUUCUAAAGUAUUUUUAUUCUCUAUUCUUAAACCAUCAAAAUUUAAUUUAAAUCUUUCAUUAAUUGGAUAAAUCCAAUGAAUCUAACAAGUUAAAGGAUUAUGAAUCCGACAAAACAGUUGAUAAUAAAUUAAUAAUGCCAUUAAUAUGAUUUUAAUGUGAAACACAAUUAUCACAUUUAAUACAGUUAGUCCUUGUAUGAUUAAUGUUUUGGAAGCUAAAAUCAAUCUUUUGACUAUAAUAAGAGUUUCUACUAUUUCUAUUUUUGGAUGAUUUUAUAUUUUUCUUAUUGUUUUAGUUUAAUACAAAAAAUAAAAAUAAAAUUACAUUAGUAGAAUUUUUUUAACUUACUCAAAAACCUAUUUUAGUUGAAUGAUUUUUUUAAAAAAAAUAUAAAUAUUUUGUUAAAAGGGAUAAAAUAACCUUACCUUGUGAAAAAGACCUCUUCACCCAAGAUUACUUGUUCAUAAUCCUUUUAAGACGAAAAUGCCCCCUUCCUAAAAAAUAUUUCAUCUUAAACUUAUUUUUCUUUUUAUUGCCCUUUGUUCCAUCCUUCCGGCUUGGGAGAGAAAUUCAUUCUUCUUUUGCGAAGAAAAAUUCCUAUUGCGAUUUUUCAUUUCAAGUGGAAAAAAAAAUUCUUAUUUCAUUUUAAAGAAAUUGUACAUUUUCAAUCUUUCUCUUUGUUCCUAGUUGAGGGUUUUUUUUGUAAUUUUAUCUUAACACUACAAAUUUAAAGGUGAGAUUAAAUCUUAAUGGUUAUUAGUUAAAUCACAUAUCUAACUUUGUUUUUGUCAGGACCUAUAAUAUGAUUGGAACCACCAUCCAAACUUCAUUAGGUGGGAUACUCCCCACCCUCCCCCUCCCCCCGCGAAAUCCUUGGAUUUUAGUUUUGACUUGGAUUUCAAUUGCCCGUAUCAAUUUUUCUUUAUUUAUUAAUUUAUUAAUUUUCAACUUUAACAAAAGCCUUGAAUCAUAUUUAAAUUCAAAUAACUUAAUCCUAAUUAAGUUCUUUUUAAAUAAAAAUUAAUCAUUGAAAAGUUCAUGUGACUAUUAUAAUUGAGAAUUUAUCCCAAGUUGGGUUUUUUGCAAAUAAAAUUUUAUUAUAGGACAUCAUGAUGCAACAUAACAUAAGGUUGUUACUUAAGUUUGUUUUGACCUUGUAAUAUGUUAAAAUGAAAAUGAAGCCAUUGUAACAGGAGAGAAUGAUGAAGCUGUGGAGAGAGCUUAACAAAGCUUGGGUUGGAGAGACUUCACAGGAAGAGAGAGAGAGAAAUAAAGGGUAAAAUUAUCAAAAGAGAAAAGAAAAAAAAAAAAAAAAAAGAAGGUUAUGUCUUCAAAUAAUCAAUAAGAGAUGUCAUUUUUCUAAUUUUCAAAGUUCUUUUGGUCCUUCUCUACAAAUAUCCCUAUAAAAAUAUUAUAAUAUCAAGUUAAUUUGUCAAUACCAAAAUUUAUAUUUUAUAUUAGGGCGACUAAAUAACAUAUAGAAAGAAUUUUAAAUGAGUAAAUCAAAUCAAUUUUGAAACCAAAACUUAAUAAUUACCAAACUUGUAAUCUUAGUCAUUAAAAGUGUACGAUGAAAUCUAAAUUAUUAAGCAAUGAAACAAAAAAUUAAGAUUAAAAUACAAAACGUUAAAAUCAAGAUACAAACUAUUAAAAUGUAAGUGGGAUAUGAGAUGAUAUUAUAAAAAAUAGUGUGAUCCAACAAAAAGUCUAGUACAUCAUUAUCUUCACUUCCAACCAUGUUUAAAAGGUCACAAGUUCUAGCGGUUUCCAAGGACAAUGUUAAAAAUAAUAAAAAUAAAUCCAAUUAAAUAUUAAUUAAUUUAUUUGAAUUUGAGUCCGACAAAAUAGUUGGUAAUAAGUUAAUAAUGCCAUUAAUAUGAUUUUAAUGUGAAACACAAUUAUCACAUUUAAUACCCGUUAGUCCUUGUAUGAUUAACUUUUUAGAAAUUAAUAUCAAUCUUUUGAUUAUAAUAAGAGUUUCUACUAUUUAUAUUUUUGGAUGAUUUUAUAUUUUUCUUAUUGUUUUAGUUUAAUACAAAAAAAUAAAAAUAAAAUUACAUUAGUAGAAUUUUUUUUAACUUAUUCAAAAAACCUAUUGUAAGGUGAAUGGUUUUUUUAUUUUUUUUUUAAAUAUAAAUAUUUUCUUAAAAGGGAUAAAAUAACCUUACCUUGUGAAAAAAGGCCUCUUCACCCAAAUUUACUUGUGCAUAAUCCUUUUCAGACGAAAAUGCCCCCUUCCUAAAAAAUAUUUCAUCUUAAACUUAUUUUUCAUUUUUAUAACCCUUUGUUCCAUCCUUAUGAUUUGGGAGAGGAAGUCAUUCUUCUCUUGUGAAGAAAAAAUUCCUACUGCCAUUUUUCAUUUCAAGUGAAGAAAAAUAUUUAUAUUUCAUUUUAAACAAAUUGUACAUUUUCAAUCUCUCUUUGUUCCUAGUUGAGGUUUUUUUUUUUUUUUUUUUUUUUUGUAAUUUUAUCUUAAUUGUACAAAUUCGAAGAUGAGAUUAAAUCUAUAAUGGUUAUUGGUUAAAUCACUUAUCUAACUUUGUUCUUGACAGAUCGUAUAAUAUGAUUGGAACCACCAUCCUAACUUUAUUAGGUGGGAUCCCUUUUUUUUUUUCCCCAAACCCUUGGAUUUUAGUUUUGACUUAUAUUUCAAUUGUCUGUAUCACUUUUUCUUUAUUUAUUAAUUUUCAACAAGUUCUUUAACAAAAGCCUUGAAUCAUAUUUAAAUUCAAAUAACUUAAUCCCCAUUAAGUUCUUUUUAAAUGAAACUUAAUCAUGUGAAAGUUCAUGUGACUAUUAUAAUUGAGAAUUUAUUCUUAGUUGGGUUUUUUGUAAAUAAAAUUUAGUUAUAGGACUGUGAUGAUCCGUUCUCAACCGUAUAAAUAUUGUUCGUUUUGAAUUCAAAAUAACUUUUACGGCUUUAAAACAUGUUUACAAGAUUAAGAGGAGUCCAUAUUUAUAUAGCUUCACGAACUUUCCCCCCUAUUCGAUGUGGGAUGUCACAAGGACAUCAUGAUGCAACGUAUAACAUAAGAUUGUUUCUUAAGUUUGUCUAACCUUGUAAUGUGUUAAAAUGAAGAUGAAGCCAUUAUAACAGAAGAGAAUGAUGAAGUUGUAGAGAGAGCUUAACAAAGCUUGGGUUGGAGAGACUUCAUAGGAAGAGAGAGAGAGAGAGAGAGAGAAAUAAAGGGUAAAAUUAUCAAAAAAGAAAAAAGAAAAAAAAGAGGGUGAUGUCUCCAAAUAAUCAAUAAGAGAUGUCAUUUUUCUAAUUUCAAAGUUCUUCUGGCCCUUCUCUACAAAUAUCCCUAUAAAAACAUUAUAAUAUCAAGUUAAUUUGUUGAUACCAAAAUUUAUAUAUUAUAUUAGGAUGACUAAAUAACAUAUAGAAAGAAUUUUAAAUGAGUAAAUCAAAUCAAUUUUGAAAUCAAAACUUAAUACCUACCAAACUUGUAAUCUUAGUCAUUUAAAGUGUUCCAUGAAAUCUAAAUUAUUAAGCAGUGAAACAAAAAAUAUAAGAUUAAAAUACAAAACGUUGAAAUCAAGAUUCAAACUAUUAAAACGUAAGUGGAGACGUAAGAUGAUGUCAUAAAAAAUAGUGGGAUCCAACAAAAAGUCUAUUAAUCAUUAUCUUCACUUCCAAUCAUGUUUAAAAGGUCACAAGUUCUAGCGGCUUUCAAGGACGAUGUUAAAAAUAAUAAAAAUAAAUCCAAUUAAAUAUUAAUUAAUUUAUUUGAACAAUAGAUAGGACCAAAAUAAUAUUCUAAAAGGAAUCAUAGGGAAGUCCUUGGACAACCUACGACAUUGAACAAAGGUACAGUGAGACAAUGCACUUAGCCCUUCCUUGUCAUUGCGAUGAAUAUAAAAAGACACCCUGAUUGAGGGUGCCCCACUAAGCCAAGAGUGAUUCUUUUGUAUUGUAUAACGUGAAUAUUUUUGAACUUUGAAUGACCCUUCCUAUAGUCAUCAUUGUCAAAACUAGAAAAUCAGAAAGAUGCGAUGUACGAAGGCACCAUUGAAUAAGAGGCUUAAUUCUCUUUGGCAAUUAGGAUAAAGUUUCAAAAUAGAAAAAUUAAACAAAUGUACAGUGUACGGACACUUGGGCAUUGCCUAUUUGUUUUGUUCUUCUAGAGUUGUAUAUGGUAAAGGUCAUAUUGGGUUGGUUCUAUUUGGUUAUUGAAGUCGGCUAGAAUAUUAGAUUUGGUUUCAAUCUAAUCCCAUAUGAUAUUAGAAUACCAGCCCAUACAGAAUUUUUGACCAAAUAUAAUAUUUCUUUUAAAUAUAAAUAUAGUAAUUAAUUUUAGUCUAAGAUUAAUUAUGUAGUUUCCUAAAGAGACCACUUCCUAAACGGUAGCUAUGUGGAAGUUGGGCCAGGUCCUGCCGAGAAGGUUUCCACGAGCUGAGCCCAAAACUGAGUAGCUGUGAUGGGAUCAUUCUAGCAUUCAGCCUGAAACUUGUAACAUAACGGAUCGAGAGGCCUGAACUCCAAGACCAUGGUUCGUCAGCCCAUUAACUUCAACAGCACGCAUUUUAGAGGACUGGGCUUGCAAGGGGUGAGGUUUCCGGGCCGCGACCCCAAAUAUGAACAGCCUCAGAAGUGAUAUUGCUUACUGGCACGUGAAGAGCGCAAGCGUAACUAGAAGAUUUGUAAUGCCGCUUUAAUUGUUUGAUUAUAGAAUCCCACGCAUUACGCAUGGAAAGUGUAAAAGAUAAAAGAUGUAGAAUUUUUUCUUAGAGAAAAGUUCGUUUGGAUAUAGUUAUUGUUUUUUUUUUAAAUAAUAAUUGUUUUUUUUAUAAAUUAUAGAUAAUCUUAGAAAUUUAUCUUUAAAAAAAUAGUUUUUAAAAAUAUUUAAGGAGAAUAAAAGUGAUAAAAAAAAACUUUACAAUUUCAAAUUUUUAAAAAAUGAAAAUUAUUUUUAAGAAUAUAAGUUAAUCUCCUGCAUUUAAAUCUUAGGUGGUUUUUGUUUUUUUUACUUUUCGCUGAAAACAAUUUGUUUUCAAAAUUUAGGUCAUUUGUUUUUUCUAUUUUUUCAUGAUUUAUUAUAAAUUUUUUACUAAAUAAAAAAAAUCAAAAUAUGUAACUUUUUCUAAAUAAAAAAAAUAACGUAUUGAUUUUUCUUUACUUUUUAAUACUUAAUAGAUAUAAAAUACUACAAAAACAAAAAAUCUAAUAUUUAACACUAUUAAGCAUUAAAGUUCUAUUUAGAAUUAAGUAAAAAAACAAACACCACCUUAUAUUUUAUAUAAAAGUUACUUAUAUUUUGGUUUUUGGAAAUAAAAAAUAUAAAGCAUAUCCAAACAUGAGCUUAGCUAUUUUAAAUCAUAUCAAAAUAAUAAUCCCAAUAAGGUAAAUGGACUUUUAUACGGAGAAUAAUCUUUAAGGUUUUCAUUUUUAUUGGAUUUUUUUUUUGUGGUGUUUUUUCAAUCCAUCUUCUCAAUUAAUUCCUUAAAAUUAUUUUACUGUUUUUUUUUUUUUCAGUUUCUAAAUAUUUGAUUUUUCCAAAAUGCUUAAAUGGAAGACACUAAUUUUUCAAGAUAUUUGGUAUUACAAUUUUCCCUGUUCUCCCUAUUAUCUAUCAGAUUCAUGGCCCUUUUGUUUUUUCAUUGGUUUUCAAUUUAAUUUUCCAAAUAUUACAUUGUUGUGUUUUGAAUUUGUGAAACCAAUUUUAUAUAUAUAUAUAGUAUGUAAGUCUACUUUGGGUAACAUGUACAGAGAGGUUUUCAUGUGUUUGAAACCUUUUACCUCAAAAAUUAAUUAUUUUUAAUUUUAUAAUAAAUCUUUUUUUAUUUUUUAUUUUAUUUAGGAAAGCCUAUAUUUAAACUACAUGUUUGCAACGCAACACCAUACAUACUCCUAGUGGAACUUACCUUAGUGCUUGAGGGGGAUGCAGAUCUUCUUCUAAACCUAACUAAUAAGCAUAAAAUUGUUCACUAAUUAGCAUAUCUAGUAAAUCAUACAAAUUGGCAAUAUUUCAUGUUUUUCAUGUUUUGUCAAUAAAAGGCGUCUUGACCAUUUUGUGAGUUUUGUAAUAAAUAAAAAAAAAAAAAAAAAAAGGGCAAAAGGUGACUAAAAUGAGGCACUUUGGAAAGGUUAAUAACCUAAAAGGAAGAUGAAUUAAUACCCCCUUAUUCCUCUUCAAAAACCAUUGAGAAAAUGCAAGAAAUGCUCUUAGUUGUAUGCUAGGCUAACAGCCUAGCAACCAUAAUACCCUUCUUUGCAAUUGUAAGCAUUUUUUUUUUUUUUUUGAAGGCCAAACAACGUUGCAAACUUCCCAAAUCCCUUCUUUAUUUUUUAUUUUUUUAUUUUUGUUUUUAGAAGGAGAAUGAAUUUGAUGACAAACUCCUUGUCAAUCUUAUCCAAACCACGAUCGAACAGAACUCCUUGUCAAUCUUAUCCAAACCGUGUUCCACCUCAAAAACAUGUGUAGGACUUAAGGCAGCAACUGGCAAGCAUGACUGAUAGGGCCAAGUGCCCUUGUCUCUACAAUCCAUUAAGUUAACCAAGGGCAGUGAACCAUCAUUCUUUUCAAAAGCUUCAUUCCGUGUUGAAAAUGUGAGACUGAAGCAUGGUGCCCCCAAAAAUAACGAUCUAUUUACUAGCAGCAUGCCUGGACCCAUUAAAAAUACUCUACUUUAGGAAUAGAAAAAAUUACAUCUUUAUCCAAUAAUUUUAUAACAAUUCAGACGUUUCAGUCUAUAAAUAAUUGUACAUAGUUGCCAACGUUUAGCUAGUUUCAAAUGAAUAGCCUAGGUUCAUGCACCAGUUUGGCUGGUGGAGGAAAGGGAUUCGAGACAUUGAACCCUCUUUUUAGUGUGCCAAAUAUUCCACAAAAAUCACUACCUUCUCUUUGUGUUUGUUCACUUUUAGUUUAUAUUUAAUAAAUCUAUGUUUUCGAGUAGAGGUUGGGUUCAGGUGCGACCCACGUCACCUCUCGGACGGUCUUGAAAAAGGAGACCGGACCACGUAAUUUCAAAUGUAGUGACCAUCUCACUUUUACCUCCAUCCUUGAAGAUGGUUUCCCAAAUCAAUAUUAAUCUUUUGUUUACGACAAUAUCGAUCACUUUAUGUCUAUAUCGUUGUUAAUUUACCUUUUUUUUUUAGCCACAUUAUUUGAAAAUUGAUGCAAACUUUACCAACAUCUUGGUACCAUUUUAAAAUAUUAGAGUUAUUUGAUUAAAAAAAUAAAAUAAUCUCGAUAACUUGUUUAUAAAAUAAAUAUCUUUUAACAUUUAGACUAUUCUCACGCAUGCUUUAAAAUUGUAAAGAUAUUCAUAAAGUGGAACUUUAGACUUAAUCAAUAUCGAUCACUUUAUGUCUCUAUUGUUGUUAUAUUUUUUUUUUACAACAUUAUUUGAAAAUUGAUGCAAACUUUACCAACAUCCUAAUACCAUUUUAAAAUAUUAGAGUUAUUUGAUUAAAAAAAUAAAAUAAUCCCGACAACUUGUUUAUAAAAUAAAUAUCUUUUAAUAUUUAGACUAUUUUCACCAUGCUUUAAAAUCAUAAAGAUAUUUAUAUUCAUAAAGUGGAACUUUAGACUUAAACAUGAUAAUAGUUUUUUUACAAUAUUAUAAUUAUUUUAUCGUUUUAAUUAAGCCCUUUAUCAUACAUAUAAAUGUAAAUUAAUGCUAAAUUUUUAAAGCAACGUAUAACCUUUUACAUCUUUUUUUAAGAUGGUGCGAAAAUCCUAUGAAAAAUAAUAAAAGUCGAUGCAUAAGAAGAUUGUUUUGAUAAUUCAAUAGAAAAAUUCUUUUAAAAUGAUAUUAAAAAAUACCCAUAGAGCCUUUAUUAAAAAAAUCAAUUAUUUUCAUAAUAAAAAUUAUAAUUUUUUAUUAUGUAUUAUUAUUUUUAAGUAUCUUUAUUACAAAUACUUUUUUUGAGUUUAUGAGAGGAAUCAACAGGUUGGUACAAGCUUAGGCGUCCUCGUACAUGUUCCCGCUGUGCAAGGUUUUUGUCUUGUUUCGAGCUAGUCGGAAUUUACGUGUUUGAUAACGUUUUGUCCUAUUUUUGUAACGCUUUAAAGGGCGGCCCACCGUUGGAACAGUUCAAGCCAUCCAAAUCAGCCCGGAGGGUUAUGGCGACGUGGCAUGACGCCUACCACCUUAGUUCACAUGAACCCUAUGAUCGUACUACCCUCACAUGACAUCUGUGAUUCUUCACCUCCAAACCCUCUUUAACUUGGUAAUGUAUUCAAAGCUUCAUCAAAUCAUAGCGAUUAGCGACCCUCUUCCACCCUAAUUUUAUAAUAAAAAAUAAAUCUUAGUGGACAUUAAAGUAGUAUUUUGUGGGGGGAAAGAAAAACUCUAUGGGCGUAUCCACUAAAUACGAGCCAAGUAUAAGAGUUAUCACCAUGGAAUCAAAUUAUGAAGCAUUGACAUUUUAAUUGUAUUCAGAUUUGAGGAGGGCACCGCGGCACCAGCUGGCCCAGUGUAGUCUGCUAGCCUACCCGCCAUAAUGACCAAAUUAAUAAAGUAAAAAGGAUUACAGGGAUAUUCCCAACUUUAUUCUGGGUCUGAGCUGGAACUUGGGAGUUAUCACGAUCAACGGGAAAGAUGGUGGGUAGGGGACGAGGAUUGAGGGCUCCAUAUUCACAUCAGUGAAAAACGAAAUGUAUUGAGACAAGUCUUCUAAGGAUUUUCUAGCGUAUUAUAUGGUUUAAAUGAUUAUAAAUCUGUAGUUACUGGUAAAGAGUAGAGAGUGAAGACGAAAGACGUUGAGUGAAAAGGAAGGAGGAGAGGGGAUGGGGCCAUCUUACCGUGUCGGGGAGGAUCCAUAAAAGGACUACGUUCCCUGAAUCUGUAGGCAUCAUGCCUCGCCUAACGGGUUAGUCAAAAUACAGUGAUGUGUGUGAGUUGGGGGCCUCACUCCUCAUUUCUUUCCUUCUUUUCACCCCCACCCCCACUUUUUUUUUUUUUUUUUCGAAUUUUUCUUUGUCCUUUUCUCUCACUUGCGCACGCGGGAGAAGGACCACAAACUAGACAAUUCCUCUGCUCACGUGACCCCGAGUUUUUAAAUAUUUGCCUAUUUGGAAAAUAGUCAUGAAUCAUGAUCGUUAACAAACAAUCUUCACUUUAUUUAUUUAAGAUCUAUUUUUUGGAGCUCUAGUUUAGUUUAUUAUUAUUAUUAUUAUUAUUAUUAUUAUUAUUAUUAUUAUUUAGUAACUCCUCUUAUAUUAAUGAAAAAGAGAGGAGGAAUCCAAACUUGUUUAUUCUUCCUCUUUUAAGGUGUUUGUUUUUUUUAUUUUAUUUUUAUGCUUCAUAUGUCUUCAAUUUCUUAGCAUUUGUCUUAUAUUUCUUCUUAUCCGAUUCAUUAUUGCAUCCUUGGUCAAUCUUUCACGAGGAGUGCCUACUUUUUUCCUUUUUAUUAUUUAAUUCACUUUAUCUUUAUAUUUUCCUUUUACACUUUAUUUCCAAUUCAAAACGUGUCAAAAAAAAAAAUUGGUAACAAAAAAAAAAAAAAAAAUCAAUUGUAAUGAUUCUUAUAUAAUUUUAUUUAAUUUUUAUUAAACAAUAAAGAAAUUAAAAAUAUAUAAAUUUUUAAAUAAUUAUUAUAGUCUUUCAUUUUUGUGUAUAAUUUCUUUUGCAAGAAAUAGUGUAGGCUUUCCACGGUCUAAAGGAAAUGGAAUAUCAAAUGAGAAGGUAAUAAUAAUAAAGUGAGUUAUAGAUACUAAUCAAACUAAUCCACUAAUGAAUUAUUUAUUUUUAUUUCACAUGGACAAAUCCUAAAAGUUGGAGUUCUAAUUUACUUUUAUGUUAAGCUUUUUUAAGUAAAAAUCUUUUAUUAUUAUAAUUUAUAGACAAAAAGAAACCCAUUAAUGUGAUGGAUAAAAAAUUUCAAUUUAAAAAAAAAAAAAUUAAAGUUGCUAAAUUUUUGUAUUUAUUAUUUCAAACUCAUUUAAAUAAUUUAAAAAUAUGUCUUCAAUUAAUUUUAAUGAAACAAAGCAUGAUUUUUUUUUAAUUUUUUUUUCUUUACCAAAUAAAGCAUUAUUAUAAUACGUUGAUUAAAUUUUCAUCAUGUCUCUCAAGAUUUGGAUUAAAUAUACUUAGUUGUCAUAAAUUUGAAAUUUUAUUUAAUGUAUUUUUUAUUUUAAAUUAAAAAGAUGAAUGCAAAUAAAAAAAAUAUGUAUAUUUUAUAAAAUUUUAAAUUAAACGAAGGAUACGUGUAUUUAACCAAGGUGAAUGAAAUUAAUCCAAAUACUUUUUGGUAACUUGCAAAAUAUCUUGACGAAAUCAUUAUGGCAGGCAUCGUACAAGCUCAACCCUUGUCGCCUUGCUAGAAAUAGAGAAACAAAAAGACCCCCAAAUUGGGUUGCAUCCUAAAUAUGAAGAAGUGGUAACAAAGGAAGAAAAAAUGCUGUGUUAUUGAAUAGUUAAUACAUUGAACAUGAUAUGUUACAUAGAGAGCCAGAUUAAUCCUAGUGGAAUUCCACUGUCACGAUGGUAACCUAGGGUUAUGUUUGGUUAUUGAAAAUACCAAGAAAAGAAAAAAAAAUAUAAAGGAAAAUAAUUUUUUCAUUUUUGAUUGUCUUAUAAAAGAUAUAAAAAAAAAACAAAUAUAAUUAAAACUAAUUAAAAAUUUAGGUAUUUUUAAAUUAUUUAAUUUUUAUAUUAAUGAGCGAAAAUAAAUAAAAUAAGUUUAAAAUAACAAAAAAAAUAAUUUACCGAUUUUUAAUCUAUAUUUUAUUUUACUUUUUCUUUGUAUUUUUUUUUUCUUAUAUUUUCCCUCAAAUUUUCUGAAUCAAACAUAGCAAAAAAGGAGCUACCCCUUUCGAAAGAAACUCCCAAGAAUUUCAAAGAAACCUGCUGAGAUAAUGAAUGAGGGAUCACUGUCGGUAAACAGUAUCCAUUCUUUUGGGAGGACUUUCAAACUGAGAAGUUGUUUUCAUGACUUGGAAACAAAAUUUUGAGCUCUAAGGGGGUCUGUAUUUGGGCCCUAAAAUUCAAUCCAUCAAUCUGAAAAAUGCUUAGGAUAAUGAUUUGAUUUAGCCACAAUCACUAAACAAAUUCCAGAGGAAAAUUUCGCUACUCAUAGGUGGCUGAUUCUCAUAAAAAGACAUCGUGGUAGGGUGUCUCAAGUGCAGGCUCACCAUCAACUUGCUGCCCUUUUUAGAUUAUUGUAAAAUGAUUUCACAUGAAGCCCAAUGCAAAACUUUGAAAGAAAAGGUUGGUGGAGACGUGAAGAAUAUGUAACCCAUAGGCCAUAACUAGUACCGAAGAUUAUUGAACAAACAUUCAAGGUUUUUGUAUAGACGAAACUGAAAAGAAUGUGUACCAGACUCAGGCGUUCAGAUCAGAUGAUGCCGUAAUGUGGAUUGUGGAGGAGCAUUGUGCAGACAGAUAAUGAGAUUCUGAAAGCGAGGCCACUGAUGGGCCCUUGGAAGGGGGGCGUGCCUUCAAAAUUAUAUAUAUAUAUAUAUAUAUGUCAUUGAAAAUUGGAAGCAACUUUUCUUCUUAAGUUAUUUUAAUCGAAGAAGAAACAAAAAGUUAAAAACAUACAUUAUUCUUCCUUCUUACGAGGUUUCCGGGUCUAAAUUACUAUGGUCUCUGCAACUGGCGUCGUUUUCUCUCCCCUCUCUCUAUUUUCCCUUUAUUUUUUCACUUUUAGAAAGAAGCAUCCCAUCAAGAAUCUACUACAACCCUACGCUUCCAUUUUGAUUUAGAAAGUUAAAAAUAAGUUUAAGUUAAAAAAAAAUAUUUUCUUAUAUAAUUAUUUAAACUUAUUUCUUUUCCUUUUUAUAUAAAGAAACAAAUAUUUUGCAAAUAAAUAAAUUUCUAAUUAUUUUCAUUAACAUAAUAAUAAUAUUUUUCAUAUGACUUUAAUCACAAUUUUUUUUACCACUUGUCCAAGGCGGUGAGAGGUGAUAAAAUGUAUUAAAAAAACGAUUAAAUUGCAUUAGGUAUAGAAGUUUUGUGCUUCAAUUAUCACUUAUAAAAAUAAAAUAAAAAUAGUCAAAUUUGAGUGUGCAAGUUGGUAUUCGUAUGUAGAAGGAAUUGGGGGAUUUGGGGGUCCUAACAAAUUUGAUAUGAUUGAUGGAAGGAAAUGAUUAUUAUAGGAUAAAGUCCGAAUGAAACGCUGACGAGGGGGGAAAAACAACAGUGGCAAUGCACUAUCCACAGAUCCAUGAUUGAUUUAUGUUAGCAAUAAUGAAUUAUUUUGACUUUGAUAACCUUGGUUAAGAGAAUUUGGUCUUGUUAUUAUCAUUUUUUCAAAAAAAAAAAGUGUAGGUAACUAGGUAGUUGAUUUAUUAGAAUUUAGAAAUGAGGAUCCCCUCCUCCUGCAAGAGCCGUGACAGACAUGCCUGCUUUCUUGCCAGAUUAUACCAAUGUGCCCAAAUAAUCCCCCAUCUAUCAUCUCUGCACCCUGGAACACGUCACUCCCUCCUUUGAGCAAUAAAAUAUCUCUUUUAUUUUCUUUUGAACCACUCUUCUAUUUCUUUGUACCAGACUGGACCCAUUUAAAUUCUUCGCUACGCUGUUCCCAAGGACUACGAGAAUCAAAAUAGCAAAAUUCUUGAAUCAUUUUAAUGGGUUCAGAAACCACAUGUUUCUCUAGAUCAUAAGAGGAAAAUCUUUUUGGAUGGUGUUUGUGUUGUGUUGUGUUCAAUAUUAAAUACUCAAUUAAAUAAGCUAAAUCAAAUAUCACAUGAAAAAUAAUCAAAUUAAAAAUAGGGAGAAUUAUGUUUUGAGGGUAGAUGGACCCCAAAUUAACAAAAGGUUCAUGUAACUCUUCAAAUUGAGCCCAGACCCAAUGAAAAUAUGGAAAUUGAGUUGAAGUAUAUCAUCAUUCAGUAUUUCCAAAAAUGUCCUUUGUUGAUUUUGAGAAAAAAAUUAAUAUUUUUGAAAAAUAUUUUUAUGUAAUUUAAUAUUUUUUUAAAUACUUUUAUUUAAUUUAAUAUUUUUAAAAAAUAAAUUUAUUUAAUUUAAUAUUUUAAAAAAUAUUUAAUUUAAUAUAUUUUUUAAAUACUUUAAUUUAAUUUAAUAUUUUUGAAAAAAAUUUUAAUUUAAUAUUUUUGAAAAAAAAAUUAUUUAAUUUAAUAUUUUUUAAAACUAUUUUUAUUUAAUUUAGUAUUUUUGAAAAAAAAUUAUUUAACUUAAUUUUAUAAAAUAUUUUAUAUGUGUUCUUAAAGGGUAUAUUUGUCCGUUACUAUUUCAUAUCCUUCAACUCAAUUUAAAGAGUUAUAUGGACCUUUUGUUAAUUUGGGGACCCAUCUACCCUCAAAAGAUAAUUCUCCCUUAAAAAUAUAAAUUUAAAUAUGACAUAAUUAUUAAAUAUGUUAGAUCUUGUAUGAGUUUAUAAGAUUUAUGUUUCAAAAUAACAUGUUUAUAAUUCAUCUAUUGAUUUAUAAUCAAAUUUUAAAUAAAUUAAAGUUAUUCAAGUUAAUAAAUAUGAUUUAUGUUAUAAAGACUAACUAAAAAAUAAUUUAUUAAUUAAACGGAUCCUGGUCAAUAAAAAUUUGAUUUAAAUACGAUCAUACUUAAUCAAAACUUAGGUCAAAUUGUAUUGAUAAAUUACAUCAAAACCUUGUUGUGUUCAAUAUUUUAUAUUAAACUAUUUUUUAAUAAAAUUAUUUUUAUAAAUAUAAUAUUACAUCAUUUGGAGAAACAAAAUAGUAUUAUAUUGAUUUUACAUAUAAAGCAACCAGUUAACCCCUCAUUAUUUUGAUCCAUUUCACAUCCAUAUCAUUCUCAUAAUUUUUUUAUAAUAUAUUAACAUGAUGGACGGUAAUUGAGGGUAGAAAAAAAAGAUGAGAAGAAUAAAAUAAUGUGAAUCCUCUCUAAAUGUUACAUCUUCUGACAAAUGAAGUCUAUAGAAAUGUGUAAAAAAAAAAAAAACACUUAAUUGUGAGGUUCACUUGAUUUAGCAAAAAAUUAAUAUUUUAUUUGUUGUGUGAUUUAAAAAUAAUAUUUUAUUUUUAAAAAUAAAAAAUUAUUUUUAAAGUUUUUUAACACUAUUUUACUAUUGUUCUUUGAAAUAAUUUUUAAAAUUAAAAUGAAAUAACUAAUAAUUUUUAGAUAAUAAAUUAAAGUUGUUUUUAUUAGAUUUUAAAAAUAAAAGAAAAAUAUAAAACCAUUUGAUCAAAUUUUUUUAAACUUAUUUUUAAAAGGUUUUUUUUUUUUUUUUUUUUUUUCUAUCCUAAGUUAAAAGAUAAAAAAUAAUUUUUAAAGAUAGGUUACGAGCAAAUGCCACAAACUUUUUUCUUCUCUUUCCCUUGUUCGGAUAGAAGUGAAAAAUAUCCUCCCAUGGAUCGACAUUACGUGAGCCAUCACCAUUCCCCAACUGCAAUUCAACCGCCAAAGCUGAGGUGUCAUUAUUAGUUUGAACAAAAGUCAGCAUUGUCCACGUGGUGACAAGCGGAACUGACCCAACUUGCAAGGCAAAAAAAUAAAUAAAAUAAAAUGAAAAAAUCAGAUCACCAUUAUGACGUCAGUCCAAUUGCUGACCUGGCCGCCGUCCCCCAUUUGACCCACGUGUUCAUUUAACCCAUUCGCCGUAUGCCGUGGCUCCCCACCCAUAUGGCCAUAUCUGCCAUUUAUUUUAUCCGUUGCCUCCAUUCGGUUUUUGGAUUUUACCCAUUCGCCCUCGUCUAUUCCCAUUUCCGUAUUUGCCCACCAAGGAAAUUCAAUUCCCAUGCUUUUGUUUUACAUUCAAAUCCUCCCCCCUCUAUAUAAAGGAGGGAGUAGGGCUUGAAAGUUUCUCAAGCCAACAUGGACUGUUGAGAGUGAAAGACAGAGGAGCCACAAACAAAUAUCACUCACUCAAACCAAAGCCAAAACCAAUACCGAAUUCAAUUCAAAUGACUUCUUUCUCUCUCAUCAAUUCCCUGAAUUCCGAUUCCGAUUUCAAUUUGUUAUCGGAUUCUUUUUCCUGGGAAAACUCCCUACCUUUCAAUGAAAACGACUCCCAGGAGAUGCUCCUCCUGGGCAUGCUGGCCAGCUCCACUCAGGAAACCUCAGAAACAGUUUCUUUGAAUCGAGUGAAGGAGGAAGAAGUGACUUCCCAGGAAAAUCCCGAGAAGGAGAAGUCAUACAGAGGCGUUAGGAGGCGGCCAUGGGGGAAAUUCGCAGCAGAAAUAAGGGACUCGACCAGGCAUGGCAUAAGGGUGUGGCUGGGAACAUUUGACAGUGCAGAGGCAGCUGCUCUGGCCUAUGAUCAAGCUGCUUUUGCGAUGCGGGGCCCUGCGGCAGUCCUCAAUUUCCCGGUGGAAAGAGUGAAGGAAUCGAUGCAGGAGAUCAAGUGCAUCUUGGAGGAGGGGGGCUCACCAGUGGUGGCCCUCAAGAAGAGGCACUCUAUGCGGAGAAAAAGUCCUUGCAAGAAACAUAAAAGUGAAGAGGUGAGGUUAGAAAAUGUGGUAGUGCUGGAGGAUUUGGGUACUGAAUACUUGGAACAGCUCCUCACUUUCUCUGAGACCUCUAGUCCUUGAUCAUCAUCAUCCAUCACCUGGAUAGCUUCUUCUCUUUGCUCUGUUUCUUACUUUUCUCUCUCUCUCUCUCUCUCUCUCUCUUUUUUUUUUAUGUAAUUUUUCUUAAUGUAUUUUUGGAGAUGGCGGGGGUGUAGUGGUGGCAAUUAUCCAUCUAGAAUUUUUCAAAAGAUAUGUUCUUUUGUUUCUUUGUAUAAAGUUGAAAAGUGGGGAUCAAUUGUGAUGGUGCUCUAUGUUCAUCCACCCAAUUUAUAUAAUCAAGGUGAUUAAUGUUUUUUGAUAUCAACAAUUUGUGAAUGACAUAGAGAGAGAGAGAGAGAGAGACCUUAUUUUCUACACUCAUUACGGUGGUUUCCAUUUGGGGAAGGAAAAGGAAAUGGCUAAGAAUGUUACCAAAAGAAGUGGGGUGGCUUUCAUAUGCGUGGUGGCAUACUUGCAUACAAACUUUUCAAUUGUGUUCUGCAUGCCACUCGGGUCAAUUUCAUUUCUUUUACUCCUAGUAGCCUAAUUGGAUUUCCUUUUUCUCAUGAGACAUCAAAUAAAUUUCAUUUUUUUAUAUUUAAAUAGUUAGGUAAGUUUGAUAGUGAGUUAUAUUUUAUACAUUAAUUCAUCUUUUAGAAUGUUGUCUACAAUAUAAACAGUGUAAUUAAUUUCAUCAUUACAGAACAGUCAUCUUAUAAAAUAACAUAAAAAUUAUUGGAUCACUUGUAUGGCACCACUGAUUUGGACUUGGUAUGGCUCUGUUUGGCUUCAUAGAAAAAAUUUGGACCCAAUUUGAAUGUCUUGCAUAAAAAGAGAUACGUCCCACUUUGAAUGAUAUUGAAGAAAAAAAUUUCUGAUGAAGAAUAUAUUGUUGGCAGGGUCAUGCAGGCCAAUAGGGAAACGAUAAAUUCAGAAGAAUGAGUCCAAACCAGUGGGCUUGAAAAUUAAGAAGAGAAUUGCUGUAUAAAACAAUCAUUUCUUAAUCGAGUUCACUUUCUGAAUAAUCGUCACUUUGAGAAUGCAUACUUAGGAAGAUGAUGAUCCUUAAUGGGAAUAAUCAAAGGCAUCAAAAAAUUGUUCUGGAACAAUUCUUGAUUGUCUCCAGUAAAAUUCAAAGUCAAAAGUCAAAAGUCCAGUCGGUCAACACCAAACCAGGCCAGUCCAAAAGACAUUAAUUUGCAAUCUAGAAUCUAUGAUGAGGUGGCGAAAUCAAACCUUGGCUUUUCACCAGGGAAUGGUACUCUGAAUUUGGUCAGUUCACUGUUUCGAGUGAAUAGGGUGUAGUAAUUAGUAAAUCAUAUUUUAGAUUUGUGUCACAAGUUACAAGGGAUAUGGGCUGACGUUCAAUUUUGGCGACAAUUUGUGGGCCCGUAUAUUUGUUGAGAUGUGGAAAUUGGGUGUGUGCUUUUUUCUGCUACCACAUAAAUAUAUUUCUUUGAAUUGAAGAGUGUUUCAGACCAUUUUUUUUCAAGUCACAAAUGGACAACUGAUUGAGAUUGUAUUGGUGAGAGUAGGAGUUUAUUUUGGGCUGGUUGAGCGAAGUUGAAAGUCGAGUUGGACCUAACCCUUGAAUUCAGCAGACUACAGUCCGAUCCUGUAUUUUGGAUUUAGGGAACCUUCUUUCCCAGAAGCUUCGUCUGGGUUUUAAAGUCUAAAUGUGGCUACUCUUAAACAUUGGAGAAAGGAUGAGCGUUCACAAGCAAAUGGGUAAUUGUGGAUGGUUCAAGGACCUGGCCAGCUGGUCUUCAAGUUUGGAUGCCGGUUUGGGCCUGAGAGAGUCUUUGCAAAGUGACUUCACUUCAGCCUAUGAGAUCAAGAUAUCAUGGUGAUGUCCGAUCACUUAGGUUUCAUUUUCACCUCGGAUUACCGUUACCAUGUUCAUGAAUAAAAAUAAAUAAAUAAAUGAAGCCUUAUAGAGAAAUUAAUGAAGUGAGCUAUACAAGCAACUGGGCCAGGAGCCUACAAGGCAGAAAUUCCCUGCCCUAGACUAGGCCGAAUAAAUUAGAUGAAUGAAUUGGGGAAACCUGGGCCAGCCACACAUCCUCCUGAAGGCUGAUGUCGAACUCGCUUACGAGGAAUGGACAUGGGAGAUUGGGCUGGGACCAAAUAACCAAUUGACAGCCCUAUCCUUGUGGCAAGACGUCAGUAAAAUGGUUCAUUCUGAUUUUACGCUGCCAUUCAAUUUAAUUUUAAUUUUUGUUUAAAGCGAUGUACAAAUUGAAUGGUGUCUAGUCACUUAAAGAGUGGUUCAUAAUACACUUAAUUUAAACAAAAAAGAAAUUAUUAGAUAGGGGAUUCUCCAAUAAAAACCACCCCAUCUUGUCAGCAAGUCCGGAAACUUCCUUCACUUAGGGCGUAUUUGUUUUUUUAACUUUAAUAUUAAAGAAAGUUGGUUAAACCUUAUGACACUUUUAUAUUAUUUUAUGAAUUUUUUUUAAUUUUUAUUUUAAUGGAAUUUUAACUUUAAUACAAGUUGGAGUAAUUCUUAUCUUAAAAACAAAUCAAAAUUACUUUAAUUUUAUAUAGAAAUAAACUUACAGUAAAUUUACCAUGAAAAUUUCUAAGUCAAAUACACCAUAAGUGCUAGUAUUUUAUAAUAUUUAGAAACAUGUUAAAUUAUUAUUAUUAUUUUUUAAAAUUAUUAGUUUUCAUAUUAGUUUUAGGGAAACUUGUGCUUUAGGUCUUUUAUUUGCAAAUAAUAUGGUUUUCAAAUCCUAAGAAUAGAAAAUAUGAGAAUCAACUGUUAAUGUGGAAAAUAAUAUCAAUUUUGUGCAAUCUCUAUUGACUCAUUUUUUUGUGCCUAGAUUGCCUUCACCCACUUCCAUGUCAACAACCACAUUAAUAGAUUGUUUUUUUUUUAUAAAACAAAUAAUUAUUAUGUUUAAAAUUUUGGGGAAACUCUCUAUCUCUCUUACUUCUUCACUACAUCCGAGACCCAUCUUCCUUAAACGUUUGCCUCUCAUUUUGCCCUAACCCCAAAUCUCAUAAAUUUCUCAUUUUCUUGCCUCAUUUGAAAUAUGAAGAUGACCGAUUCUCAAACAUCUCUGUCUCUCUCUUCACGUUUUGACCAGUCUAAUUGGAAACCCAUUUUCCAAAAACCUUCUUUCUUUCAUUUUGCCCUAACCCCACUAUCUCCCUCUUCAAGACCUAAUCACCCAAACUCGAUAUCUAUCUUCCCAAAACCUUCAAGCAAACUGAACUAGACCCAUAUCUUCUUUUUUCAUCAUCAAAGGUGAAAUUUUUUUAAGGCUUUUGGAAACCGAAUUGGAGCUUUCCCUUCUUCUGGGAUUAAUCAUUCGCAAGUGAGUUUUCCAUUUAAGGCUUUGUUUGGCUGUUGAAAUCUUGGGAUCAAAGGUCUUUUAUUUUCAGGUUUCUUGUAUUUUGCUUUAUUUUCUUGUAUAUAACAAUAAUCAUUGUAACAUAUGCUAGUAGUUACCCUUGGUGCAACUUUACAUUUCCAAAUACCCUAAAGUCCAAAGCUUUUAAUUCCCUUUUCAAAGCUUUCAACUUUGAAAGCAGACUAAACCAUAAGAACUAUGAAACUUAUAUCUCUAUCACCACUAAUUAAGCAUGUCUAUGAAUCCUUCCACUUUAAGUCACUUAUUCUCAAACCAAGAAGGGCUCCUCUCAUUCUCACCCCACCUCAUCUAAAUGAGGGAAAUGAUCAAUUGCAGCCAUGCUUUGCACCAAAUUAGAGAAGUGAUCCUCCCAAUCAUCCAUUACCAAAAAUUGAUCAUGCUGAUGAGAUCAUAAGAGUCUAUUCGGAACUCCCAGUUUACUUGCCUCUUAUCUCAGGAUCCUCCAUUACCCCCUGUCUUUCCAACAUCAAAUCAACUUGCAAACAAUUCCUUUGUAGAUAAAAUGUUUUUAAUAUUGCAAAAGGGGACUUAUCAUAAUGGUUGAAUCGAUUUAUUUGAUAUAAUCACUCAAAUUCAAGCUUAAAAUUGAUCAUAAUAAAAUGUUUUUAAUAUUGUUAAAAGGAGAUUAUAAUGGUUUUAUUUGAUAUCAUUACUAAAAUUCAAGCUUUCAAACAUGCUCUACAAAGAAGUUCUAAAAGACUACAAGAAAGAGUUUCCACUAAAGAAAAACAAUGAAACCAUUUCUACUAAAGACAAACAAUGAAACCACAGAUGCUUUGUGAAAUAUGUACCCGCACAAUCCAACAAACUUUAGAAAUUCACAAACACUACCUAGAAUUUUUGCUGACCAGCAAAAAAUUUAUGCAAUUUAAUUCUUAUUGUUAUUAUUAUUUUCAAUGUGAACAAAUAUGAUUGAAUUAUGAAGUAUUUGGCCAGAAGAGGAUCUUGCCUAAUUAUAGUCAUUAAACAACCAUUUAUACCAUAGCCUCUAGACUUUAAAAAGUUUAUAAAACUCAAGGGCUUCCACCCAAUUUCUAGAUAUCUCCAUAACAUUCUUCUGACUAUUAGAAAGCAAUUACCACUUUAAUUUUUCAUUUCAUGAGUGUUCAAUUCAGAAAAAGACCAGGAUCGAACUUGCGAUCAUGCAGUCGAAAAUCCACCUGUGCAUGAAACUAUUGCCUCACGAUUGCAAACUCAAGUUGGAGUCCAGUAACAACUCUAGGUUUGCUGAUGUGCUCCAUUUGAAAUAAAGGAACUAAAGAAUACUUUAUAAAGAUUAAUUACCUUCAUAUUUUAGGUUGGGGUUAAGGCAAAAUGUGAUAGAUUGAGAGGAAGAAAAUAUAUCUUGUUCAGGAAGCCAAUAUUUUGGAGUUCACCUUUCCAUUCGAGUCCACUCUGCUAUAGCAAAAUCAGAGUCACAACUAUGCCUCUUUAAGCUAUCCUUUAAUUGGAUGAAUUGCAGAUUUGGUUGCUGAGAAAGUGGAUAAGAAAGAAAAAUGCAUACUGUAGCUUGAGAUUAAGAGUUUGUUUUCUAAAAUGAGAGAAAGGGAAAGAGAAAAAAUGCAUAUUGUAGCUUGAGAUUAAGGGUUUGUUUUCUAAAAUGAGAGAAAGGGGAAGAGAAAUGUUCGACAACUUUGAGAUGACAAAUUUUUAGAUUUGGAAAAUUUGAGAUGAGUCUCAGGUUUUUUUUUUUUUUUUUUUGUCUUUGUCUUUGUUUUUUUUUUUUUUUUUUGUUUUUUUCCCAAAAACAACCUGUUAAUGUGGUUGUUGACAUAGAAGUGGGUGAGGGCAAAAUGGGCAUAGAAAAAAGAGUCAACACAAAGUGCACAAAACCCAUAUUAUUUUCCACAUUAAUGACUGAUUCUCAUAUUUCUUGUUCUUGGGAUUUGAAAACCAUAUUAUUUGCAAAUGGACCUCCCAAAGCACAGGUUUCCCUUAGUUUUAUGUCUCCAUCUACAUUUUACAUAUAAAUAGAUUAUUUUAUAAAAUUUGUUUUGUAGAUAUAUUAGUUAAUAAUUAUAUAAUUAAUGAUAUAGAAAACAUAUAAAAAUCAUAUUUAAAAAAGAUAAUUACAUAUUCCUCAACAAUCCAUCCCAAGAAUUCGAGGUUGAGUUGAAAACAUGUAGAGUCUUUGAUGUUAUUAUAAUCAUAUCCAACACAUAUGAUUAUUGUUUAUGAGAUAUUAUUAGAAAGUUUGUCUUAAAAUAAUUGAUUUAUUACCCACCUUUAGCAAAUGCCCAUUUUUGCGUCUUUCAAAAUUUUCAUUUUUUUUUUGUUUAAAAGAAGUAUUGUAAAGAAUGAUGAAAUAAGAAAUUUGUUGAGAAAGUGUGAGUAAAUAAUUUUACAUAAAAAGAGAUUUAAUACUUGAUAAAUAAAAUAAUAAAAUCAUGAUUUCUAGUUGUAUAGGGCCGGGUGGAUGGAGUGGCUAAGAUGUAAUUCUUGAAAUAGAGGAGACAACAUCAAUGUAUAAAAGUUUAACAGAGAAGGAAAGUGUGUUUGAAUGACUUUAUUUUCUUCAUUUAAAGUUUUGACGAUGAGUGUUUAUACAAGAUAAAUUUUCAAAUGAUAGGACUCCUAUUUACAUGGAGUUUGUGAUAUACUAUGAUUAUACAAAUUUAAAAUUCAAACAGAUUCAUGAGUUGAUAGGAGUCUGCUCAAUACGCCCCUUCAAAAUGGUGGGAGAUAGCACACCAAUCUUGACUCGAAGGGCCUAAACUCGUGCAGAAGAUGAGGGCUUUGUUAGAGCAUCGACAAGUUGAUCCGUGGUUGACAUAUGGGACACCUUGAGCUCACCUGAUUAAACCUUGUUUCAAACAAAAUGAAAAUCAAUCGCCGAUGUGUUUCAUGGAGAGUGAAACAUGGGAUUUGCACAAAGAUAUGUUGCACCCACGUUAUCACAAGAGAUAGGAGGUGGUGAUAAAUUUGAAACACUAAGUUUUGAGAGAAGAGAAUUAACCCAAAGAACCUUUGAGGCUGUAGAGGCCACGACGUGAUAUUUCGCUUCAGUGGAAGAGCGUGCUAUGAACUUUUGUUUCCUCGAUGACCAAUACACAAGAUUGUGACCAAGAAAAACAAUGGGAGCAUUGGUGGAGGAUCUGACAUAAGGAUUCCUUGCCCAUUCAACAUUCGAAUAUGCAUGUAGAUUGAUGGGCGAUUUCUUAUGCAAGAACAGACCAUGCACCAUUGUGCCGACUAAGUAUCUAAGCAAUCUUUUAACACAAGACCAAUGUGUUGAUGUUGGAUGGUGCAUAAAUUGAGAUAAUUUAUUCAUCAAGAAGGUGAUGUCAGGGCUAGUAAGAGAGAAGUAUUGAAGGCUUCCAACAAUUGACAUAUAUUUAGUGGGACCAGGAAAAGAGGUGUCAUCACACAGAUUUGGAACAUUGUUGAGGAACAUCAAUGAUUGAACUGGUUUGGUAGCCACCAUUUGUGUUUUCUUAAGAAGCUCUCGAAUGUACUUGAGAUAAAAAUAAUCCUUUGGAAGUAUGUAUCAUUUCAACACCAAGAAUAAAAGAUGAAGUCCUGAGAUCCUUAAUGGAGAAUUUGACUGCUAAUUGAGAGAUCACGCGAGCACGAAAAACAUUAUUGUUACUUGUUAAAAUAAGAUCAUCAAUAUAAAUAAGUAGGUAAACAAUGAGACCACUCUUUUUAAAAAUGAAGAGGGAUGUCUCGGUUUAGGAGUUGACGAAGGCUAUUGAGAGGAGAAAUUGGCAAAGUUCAUGAUACCAUGAUCGUGGAGCUUGUUUAAAGCCAUAAAAAGCCUUACAAAGUUGGCAAAUGUGAUGAUGUGUGUAUUCGUGAACCCAGGAGGUUGAAUCAUGUAAACAUCUUCAUGAAGUGUCCUAUGCUAGAAUGCAUUAUUAAUGUCCAAUUCAUGAGUUGAUAGGAGUCUGCUCAAUACAAUGUGGGAGUGUGAUUUCAAAAUUAGGGUAAUUUCGAAAUGGAUUUUGUAUUCACAAGUUGAAUUUCAAAAUUAUUUUGAAAUGGUCUUUUAACUUUAAGCAGUUGUGUUCAAAAGGUCAUAACUUCUUCGUUUCAAUUUUGAUUUACACAUUGUUUAAAACAUUGGACUCUUUACUUCCCGAGCUUCAAAACGAUAUAUAGUAUGCUCAAAAAUGACAUCAGGAUUGGUUCAAAUUUCAUCUUGAUAUUAGAGUACAUGUUGUGAUUAGAUUUUGAGUUCCAAAUUUCCAUGUAAACUUGAUUGCAUUUGCUUCAAACCUCCUUCAUUAUGGUUGCUUGCCCUCUAUCUCACUUUGCAACAUUUGUUACUAGUAUUUUAUGUCCAUGACUUACUCAUUUCAACCUUUCUUGGAUUCUUCAUGGUUCACAAAUUAUGGAUUCUUCAUGGUUCACAAAUUGAGUCUUUCAAUUAUGCAUGUUUAACUCCUAUUUCCUUGGUUGAUAAUGACUUUUACACUUAUCAUUUUCUUUUAUUCUUUAAACCUGAAUUUAGACUUACAAAAAAAAGUUAGAUCCAUAACUAGGGUCUUAGCAUCAAUUUGAGUUAAGUUGGAUGAUUUGAAAAUUUUAUAUUACAUAAAUCAUAUCAUACAUGUGCCAUUGGAGUGCACAUUUUGGCUCUAAUCAUGUUCCAACCCAUUGUUUUACUCUUGCAUGAAGUAUGUGGCCAUUGAUUUUAAUUUUAUUUGCGAUUAGGUUCAAAAUGGUGCUUUUGUGUUGCUCAUGUGUCAUCAGAAGAUCAACUAAUGGAUUCUCUAACAAAACUACUACAUCAUAGUCAUUUUUUUUUUUCUUAAGACCAAGAUUGAGAUCUCCAAUCGGAGCCAACUCCAUCUUGGGGGCAUGUUAGUGAAAGAUAAAAUUUAUCUUUAAUUUAAAUAUUAAUAUUUAUCAGUUAUUAGUUUUAAUUAGAGUAAAAGAUAGAGUUUAAAUUGGAGUAGGAGAUAAACUUGUGUUUGAACUAGAAUAGAAGAUAAAGUAUAAAGAUUUAUGUUUGAAUUAGAAUAAAAUAUAAAGUUUGAAUUAGAGUAGAAGAUAAACUUGUUCUUUAUUUGUAUAUAAAUAUUCAUCAAUUCUUGAGAAGAAGAUUAUUUCAUAGUUUUUCUAUCUUCUUUUUUCUUCAUACAUAUCUGCAAGAAAUUGAAGAUUUCAAGUAAAAUAUUUUCUGUUUUAAAUAGUGAAAAAAGCUAGAAAUUCACUUUGUUAUCUCUUGGGGUAAAUUGACAAGGUUUAACGUUAAGAAGGUGAAUUAUUUUUUCAGAAAAACUGAAGUAGCUAGGAUAUCUGGCCAGUUGUGAUCGAUAAAAAAGUUGUAAAAUCUCUCAUAUACUAAACAGGUUUUGGAUGUUGGUAUGGUAAAUCCAUCUGCAGUCAUUCGUCAUCUCAUCUAGUGAGAUGUUUGGGAGGUGGUGACCGCCGGAUUGGGUUUCAUUUGGUUAAAUCUGUCAGUGGGUUGGCUACUACCCGAGCCUCUUGCUUUGGGGGAGGUGGGUUCUAGAUAUAAUGUUCAAACCAUUUUAGUUAUCAUAUGCAUGACAUGUAAGCAUAAUCUCUUUAUCACUUCUUCAAUGGGAGUUCAUGGUUAGGAAUUGACUUCUUUUCUUCUGGGAUGCUUGGCAUGUAAUGGACAAAGUUACUUUUAUAUCGAUCGAAUUUCUAGUAUUAUAGUGAAGACUUACCCUUUUGACAUUUUAUAUCGAAUUAUAGAAGAUGAAAGGGACAUACAUGCAAUCGACUGACGCUUUAGUGAAUAUGCUGAAAAUAUGCUGAUGCUGUGGAGAUCGUAUGAGGACAGAGGAAAAAGAUAGAAAUGGAUAUAUAAUUAGACCUAGGUUUUUAUUAAAUGAGAUGGGGAACAUAGAGUGAGGGAAAAUCAAAAUUUUUGGCUGCAGUUCACAUUGGUGAUAUUUUGGAUUGACAAAGACUAACGACUUUUCUAUUUUUCUUUUCGGCCUGACUGGAUAGUUGGACAUGGACAAUACAGAAUCCACAGAAGGAUUGUUGGGACCGCUGAAAAUUAGCUAGAAGAAGCUGAGGAAGUAGUCUACGUAGUCAAAUACCAAACACAAAGAAAGAAAGAAAUGGAUAUCAUGGAUGCCUAGAGUUAUACUCCUAAUACCGUCACAGGUAUUUUUCUUUCCUCCUUUUUUUUUCUACGAUAAUUAGAGCAUUUCUCCUCCUCCUCCUCCUCCUCCCCCCACCCCACCACCAAAAAAUAAAAAAAUAAAUUAUUGCAAGUAACACUUCAAAUAUUAAUUUAUACAUUCUAAAGUAUAUAUUCAUGAAAUAACUUGAGUAUCAUACAUUAGUUCUCAAAAAAAAAAAAAAAAAAAAAAAAAAAUUACUGGAAGAGAAAAGUUUAAGAAAACAUAAAAAUAUUCAACUACUAUUUUAAAGAGAAAAUUUAAUUUUUACACUAUAAAUUUGAAGAGAACUUUUACAUGCAUCUUAUAUAAACUACCAUUUUUUGCUAAAAGGCUUAAAUUUGUCAAAAAUACCCCUUAGGUGCUUAACGUUCUGGUCAUAAUAUAAUUGGCAUCUUUUCUCAAACAUAAGGCCUGUGUGUGGGAACAAGAUUUAAUGUUAAUGAGCUUCGCCACCGACAUUUAGUUCCAGAAAUCAUUAUUUUAAUAGAGUGGGCUCAAUUUACAACUUUAAUUAAACUCUAACCAACUGCAUUGUGAAAUGAAUAUGUUUCUUUCGUGGUGAAUCCAAUGAGUUGGGAGUCAAACUUUGCUUCAUUGUGUAUAGAUGAAAUGUUAAGACUCCAUGUAACCUCAAACAUUUCCGCAAUNNNNNNNNNNNNNNNNNNNNNNNNNNNNNNNNNNNNNNNNNNNNNNNNNNNNNNNNNNNNNNNNNNNNNNNNNNNNNNNNNNNNNNNNNNNNNNNNNNNNUUCUUUCGUGGUGAAUCCAAUGAGUUGGAGUCAAACUUGCUUCAUUGUGUAUAGAUGAAAUGUUAAGACUCCAUGUAACUCAAACAUUUCCGCAAUGAGCGGGAGUUCUAAAUUUAAUAAUUGAAAUUGUCAGUGGAACCAGUGGACAAGAGUUGGUUUGUGGUUGACAAACUUAUCCGUUUGAUCUUUACUUGAACAGUUCCAGUGUGUGGAUGGGUACUGAUGAAGUGUGCGCAUUUAUUUUGAGAAGCCUGCUUGUUCGCAUAGAUUUUAACGACAUGAACAUUGUGGUAAGGUUAGAGAGUAAUGCGAAUGUAGGAGCUUAUAUUAGAAAUGACACAAACACGUAAAUAGAAGUAAUCUAUAUAUGAUAUUACUCAUGGACUACAAGCAAAGAAGUACAAUACAUGGAGUAAGUGAUGAAAUGAGCAUUCCUCACUACUACUGCUUGACUGAUGGAACAUGAUGCACGAGAUAGCAUAAGUAGUAGUAGGAAGCAGCUCUUAUUUGUGGCGUCGGUAUACAUCAUACUAGGUAGAUGGUUCAAUUGGCAUGGAUGGGUGGUGGAGCCUUGAAGUGCUUGUGAUGGGGAGCCCACGGCUUCUUCUCAGGAGUUGGUGGCUUCUUGUAUGGAGUUGAUGGAGGUGUUUCUACUGGAGGGUGGCCAGGGUAGUGACCCUGGGGUGGUGAAGGUUCUUUUGUCGGUGGUGGCCUCACUAUUAUUGGCGGUAGAGUUGGUGGCUUGGGCGUUGGCGGUGGUCUCACUACUCUUGGGGGUAGAGUUGGUGUCUUGUGUUUUGGUGGUGGAGGUGGCUUAACAGGAGUUGGUGGCUUGUAUUCUGGGGGUGGUUUCUCCACCGGAGGUGGCUUAUAAACUGGAGUUGGUGGCUUGUAUUCUGGGGGUGGCUUCUCCACUGGUGGUGGCCUGUAAACAGGGGUUGGUGGCUUAUAUUCUGGGGGAGGCUUCUCCACUGGAGGCGACUUAUAAACAGGGGUUGGUGGCUUGUAUUCCGGGGGUGGCUUCUCUACGGGAGGUGGCCUGUAAACAGGGGUUGGUGGCUUCUCCACCGGAGGUGGCUUAUAAACGGGGGUUGGUGGCUUGUAUUCUGGGGGUGGUUUCCCCAGUGGUGGAGACUUGUAAACAGGAAGAGGUGGUUUGUGCUCAUAUGGGGGUGGCUUGUGGUCAUUAGCAAGUGAGGGAGUGGUGAGGACCACCAAUCCAAGGAACAACACGAGUGAGCAAGCAGAAGACAUGUUUGGGCUCUGGUGAUGCACAAGUAGAAGAAAUGGGAACCAUUUAUAAUGCUUCGAGACCUUGGUUAGCACCAAAAUAUGUCAAAAUCUUGAUUACUUCAUUUCAUACAUAGAUUUAAAAUUAUUUCAAUCAACCAUGAUCCUUAAUUUUCUGG